GAUGAACGCUAGCGAUAGGCUUAACACAUGCAAGUCGAGGGGCAGCACAAGGUAGCUUGCUAUCUGGGUGGCGACCGGCGCACGGGUGCGUAACGCGUAUGCAACUUGCCCUAUACAGGAGGAUAACCCGUCGAAAGACGGACUAAUACUGCGUAUGCUCACAACUUGGCAUCAAGUGGUGAGGAAAGAAAUUCGGUAUAGGAUAGGCAUGCGUCCCAUUAGCUUGUUGGUGAGGUAACGGCUCACCAAGGCAACGAUGGGUAGGGGAACUGAGAGGUUUAUCCCCCACACUGGUACUGAGACACGGACCAGACUCCUACGGGAGGCAGCAGUGAGGAGUAUUGGUCAAUGGGCGCGAGCCUGAACCAGCCAAGUCGCGUGAAGGAUGACUGUCUUAUGGAUUGUAAACUUCUUUUAUACGGGAAUAACAAGAGUCACGUGUGACUCCCUGCAUGUACCGUAUGAAUAAGCAUCGGCUAACUCCGUG
This 487-nucleotide ribosomal RNA is filed under the name uncultured bacterium. Its description in RNAcentral is "partial 16S ribosomal RNA". It matches the Rfam family "Bacterial small subunit ribosomal RNA", at positions 28 to 507 of the family's 1533-position model. The record is from RNAcentral.